RNAcentral lists this ribosomal RNA (495 nucleotides) under uncultured bacterium. Its description in RNAcentral is "partial 16S ribosomal RNA". It matches the Rfam family "Bacterial small subunit ribosomal RNA", at positions 28 to 507 of the family's 1533-position model. The record is from RNAcentral.
GACGAACGCUGGCGGCGUGCCUAAUACAUGCAAGUAGAACGCUGAAGGAGGAGCUUGCUUCUCUGGAUGAGUUGCGAACGGGUGAGUAACGCGUAGGUAACCUGCCUGGUAGCGGGGGAUAACUAUUGGAAACGAUAGCUAAUACCGCAUAAGAGUAGAUGUUGCAUGACAUUUGCUUAAAAGGUGCAAUUGCAUCACUACCAGAUGGACCUGCGUUGUAUUAGCUAGUUGGUGAGGUAACGGCUCACCAAGGCAACGAUACAUAGCCGACCUGAGAGGGUGAUCGGCCACACUGGGACUGAGACACGGUCCAGACUCCUACGGGAGGCAGCAGUAGGGAAUCUUCGGCAAUGGACGGAAGUCUGACCGAGCAACGCCGCGUGAGUGAAGAAGGUUUUCGGAUCGUAAAGCUCUGUUGUAAGAGAAGAACGAGUGUGAGAGUGGAAAGUUCACACUGUGACGGUAUCUUACCAGAAAGGGACGGCUAACUACGUG